GAUGAACGCUGGCGGCGUGCCUAACACAUGCAAGUCGAGCGAGGGUUUGCUCAGUAUUGAGUAUUCUAAGUCUAGAAUGUUCAAUUCUGAGCAAAACCAAGCGGCGGACGGGUGAGUAACGCGUGGGUAACCUGCCCUAUACACAUGGAUAACAUACUGAAAAGUUUACUAAUACAUGAUAAUAUAUAUUUGCGGCAUCGCAGAUAUAUCAAAGUGUUAGCGGUAUAGGAUGGACCCGCGUCUGAUUAGCUAGUUGGUGAGAUAACUGCCCACCAAGGCGACGAUCAGUAGCCGACCUGAGAGGGUGAUCGGCCACAUUGGAACUGAGACACGGUCCAAACUCCUACGGGAGGCAGCAGUGGGGAAUAUUGCACAAUGGGCGAAAGCCUGAUGCAGCAACGCCGCGUGAACGAUGAAGGUCUUCGGAUCGUAAAGUUCUGUUGCAGGGGAAGAUAAUGACGGUACCCUGUGAGGAAGCCCCGGCUAACUACGUGCCAGCAGCCGCGGUAAUACGUAGGGGGCUAGCGUUAUCCGGAUUUACUGGGCGUAAAGGGUGCGUAGGUGGUCCUUCAAGUCGGUGGUUAAAGGCUACGGCUCAACCGUAGUAAGCCGCCGAAACUGGAGGACUUGAGUGCAGGAGAGGAAAGUGGAAUUCCCAGUGUAGCGGUGAAAUGCGUAGAUAUUGGGGGGAACACCAGUAGCGAAGGCGGCUUUCUGGACUGCAACUGACACUGAGGCACGAAAGCGUGGGUAGCAAACAGGAUUAGAUACCCUGGUAGUCUAAGGGCGAAUUCCACAGUGGAUAUCAGGCUUAUCGAUACCGUCGACAUCGAGGGGGGGCCCGAGUACCCAGCUUUUUGUUUCCUUUAUGAGGGUUUA
RNAcentral lists this ribosomal RNA (879 nucleotides) under uncultured Peptostreptococcus sp. RNAcentral's name for it is "bacterial SSU rRNA". It matches the Rfam family "Bacterial small subunit ribosomal RNA". Lineage: Bacteria; Bacillati; Bacillota; Clostridia; Peptostreptococcales; Peptostreptococcaceae. The record is from RNAcentral.